CAUUUCCACAGUGAGGGUGGGAUUCUUGUUUGCUUCCGUUUGUCCCUUUAGCCUUACUUUAUGUUUUAUGCGAGCUAGUGGAAUCCGAGGCAGAACUGGGCAUUAAACGUGCCCAGACUGAGAAGCGUUGCCUGCAGUCCCAGGCAGGCGCUUUGUCCCUGCAAAGGGUUAAGCGCACUCUUGAGCUGGAACGUGCCAUCCAAGGCGUAUUCCUUGGGAGGGAGGGCAGCUCGCUGGGGGAUUUACAUAGGGGACGAGCCAUACGCACAGGCCCCCUAAAGCAGACGUGCUGAGCUCAGCGAUUUUGCAAGCCUGCUGCUGAGCAGCAAGGGAAGGGGGUUGCUGGCGGUUCCUCAGGCACCGACAGGAGGCGGAGACAAUAACAAGCGCCUCGGGGAGAUCAGCUGCUGCCGGAGUGGGCGGUGUAGGGCGGGCACCUUCCGAUGAAAUGCAUGCGGCCAUAGGGCCAGGCACGGGCGCUCCCCGACCGGCGGUGGUAGUGCAGAGAAUAACCGGGGAGCAGCAGGCCCCGGAUGGAACUUUGGAACCAGGUGGUGCUAGGAGCAGUCCGUCGGGGGGAGCUGGGAAUGCAGCAUGCCGCGUGUGGGGGAAGCUAGGGCCUAGGAGUGGGCAGAUAGGAGGAGCCCAGGGAGCAGCUGUGCUUCGGUUUCCGGCGCUACAGAUUUGCGGUGGAGGAGAACUAGUUAGUAAAUAUUCCCAUCCCAUGCCAGCUUUCCAGACCUUAGUAGUCUGGGCAGCACUUGCUGGGGUUUGUGGAGAGUUGGCUGGUCACCUGGUAUUGACUGUUUCCCAGCUAUUAAGUUGCAUUAAGACCUCUAGAAAUACAUAAAAUACUUUCCUAGGGUCUCUUUCCCUGCAAUCCGUUGCUGUAGUCGCUUCCAAGCUGCUCAUAAAGGGAAGGGGUGGGGUCUAGGAGACACACUCUAUAGGCGGGCUGGGGCAAGGAGCACAAACAGCGCCCAAGCUACAAUCGUCAUGGAGUACAUCGCUUGUGCAGGGCUGCGAGGCCAGCAGGGAGUAUCACAUCAUUCAGAUCUGGGAAGCACCCCAAGAUACAUCCUGCCAGUGAAUGCAAAGACCUGUCCCCUACUGGCAGCCAUUUGGCACCUGCAGAUUGCAAGCCUUGAACUGGCACUGAGGGGAAAUUUUCAAAAUAUCCACCCCCCAAAUUAAGGGGAUUCACAGGGAAAAGGGAAAUAAAAAUAAGGGGCAGGACAGCACAGAGGCAGUUUGCCAGCAGUGAGCCUGAAGGGAGACACCCUGCCCAGCCAGUCUCCAUCAAUACUAAUACCUGAAAGCCAGCCACCCAGCAAAAUCCCCAAAGUUAUCCUGAUAGAGAAAGUGAUCCCAAAGCUUUCAGCCUGAGGAUGGAGUGAACCCCAGCAGCUGCUCUAUUGGCUUGUACCUCCACUCAUCUGCUUCCAGUUCUUCUACUAAACCAGCUAGUUUUUCCAUCCGAGCAACUUGUUGAUCUACAAGAAGUCCAAAGAUAAACAUUGUUUGCAACAGCAUUUCACUUAAAUCUUUUAAUUAGAUGUAUUAUCCUUUGCAGCAGGGAUGUCCUUCCCUAAUAAUCCAGGCACUGGAAAACAGUUUUGCUCCACUGUGUCAGACUAGUCUGAACAUUAAAAAAAAACAUGUAUUGAUAUUUUCCCUAUAGAAGCAAAGACUUCAUCAGAUCAUACAAGAGAACAGACUUCAUUAACCUUCUUCAAGGACUAAAAAUAUAUAUGUCAAGCGUGGGACAGGAGGUGUAUCUGCAACUCUCUGAACAUACUGAGGCGCUAAUGUGGAUCAAAAACUGCAAGAGGGAAACACAAACUUAUUAGUGUAAGAAGCCGAAAACAAUGUGGGGCUAUUUUCUUUAGCAUAAAUAACUGGAGGCCUUAAAUGCAACUCACUGGUAUUUCUCUGUAUGUAUAUAACAUAACGUUUGAAUGUUGCAGCCAAUCAAUUCCAGAGAAUGUUCUAGGCAUCAAUGGCCAGAACCCUACUGAUCUGGGUGAAAACUUAAAGGGGAGAAAUUAGGGGAUACCUGGAGACCCUGCCAUCUGAUUAGUACAGCCACAGAUUCAAGUACCUCUUCUAUAGAACAAACAAUUGCUAGAUGGCAUAAUAGUAUCCCAUCUCAUCUCUGCUCAUGCUCCCAAUAGACUUUACCAUGUUGACAGCAUGAAUGACUUAUCUCCCACACCAAUAAAAAUGGGGAGUAUGGAGGUACACACAAAGUCCCUGACGUGGGGAUGGGGAAUAAGGAACACAAAACCUCUGGCAGGGGGGAGAAAUCACGGGAGCCUAGUAUGGGGAAAGGUGUUGCAGUGUAAAUGCUUCGGCUGGAGCCUGGGACCUCCCCCCUUAGGGGGUCCAGGAGCUUGGGCUCCAGCCCGAGCCUGAACAUUUACACCACAAUUUUACAGCCCCUCAGCCCAAGCCCUGAAAACCUGAUUCAGCUGACACAGGCCAGCCAUAGGUGUUUAACUGCAGGGUAGACAUGCUUAAGGCCAGAAAGUAAGUCUGUAUUACAGCCAAUUUGUAAGGUUUCUGCUCUCUGUUCAGACCUCACCGCUUGUGUGUACAGUACAGCAUAGAGCAAUGGAAAAAUGAGGUUAGAAACGCUUAUCUGCUCCCACCCCCACCGUGUGUGAAUUUAAUUCAAUAUUUGCAUCACAUUUGAAAAAGGACCCAACAAUAGCCUCACUUAGUGCUAAUUCAGGAAGUUAAUUUAAAUAGCCAUUCUGCUUUUUGUGGUUCACGGCACAGUAUGGUGCUGGCCUUUGCUAUAUCCUCCUGCAGCUUCCACAGUAAACUUAUACACACGUUCACAAAACGUACAACACUUGAGUGCUUACCAUGUUUCACUUGCUUUAAUGUAGAGGCAACCUGAUAGCUGAAAACGGAUUCACAAAGGAAUCUUUCUGAGCCAUCUGUAAACAGAAGAGAGAGUGAUUUAGUCUUUCCUAAGAGUUUUAUGACUGAGAAGCUUUCUAUAAUUUUUAUGUUCAGAAUGUGCUUUUCCUCUGCACACCUACUUUACCAGAAUAGGACAGUGUCUAAUGUGCAGCACUCUGGUCUGUGCGUCAGGAAGCCGUGGGUUGAAGUCCCACACCAGGGCUUUGACUUAUACCCAGUGCUGACACGGAAAUGGAGCACAGAGUGGGUGUGCUGCUGCUCUGUUUGGUAUCUUGGUACCCCUUGUGCCUGCUUCUCAUGGUUGCUGUCAUUGGCAUUUUGAUUAAAAGAAAAUCUUGGUCUCUGUGCCAACAGUCUUUUCCUUAAUAAAACAAACGUGAAUAAUCUACAGCCUGAGAACUGUUGCUGAGUUCAUAAAAGUUGUUGCAUUUGCCCACACAGUAAUGGCUCUUAAGAUCUAACUCUCAUCUUUAGGAAGUCUUUUGAGAUAUAGUUCGAAAGGUGCUCCAUAAAGCUCAAGUUUUCCCUAUAUUUCUGAAAAUAUAGCUAAAAAUUAGUUGAGUAGCCUUUGUAUGACAAAUGACAAUUCGCCUGUCCAAAUACAAAAUGACAUAAAAUUUCAUCCUUUAAACUACAUUGGUUUAUUGAAAGUGUAACAGAAGCACUGCGAUUUCAAUUAAGAUUUGAGGGUUCUGCAAUGCAAUUACAGGACCAAAUACUGUGUCAGUGCCAGACUGUGCCCUGAAAAAUGGUAGGAGAAUCAUAAUUGAAGACACUGUAGAAACUCAGCUGUGGAUGGCUUUUUGGAAAAUUGUAGGGUGACUGACUUGUGUUCAUAAUUGAGAAUUACUCCUCGGCUGAGGGCAGUGCAGUGCAAUAUAAAAAUAAACGUUUAGCACAGAUGGUUUGUAGAAGGUGUCUCAAUUCACAAUCUCUGCCUGAACGAAAAGGGAAGAGGCCGCUGUCUCCCUUUUUAGCUGAUAAUUCAUAUUACCACUACAGCGUGCCACAUCUCAGCCAGUCGUGCACUUUUAUCAUAUAGAAAGCACAAUGAAAGGAGACCAGGCUCUAGAGAGACGUAGUACUUGACACAAUCUGUACUUAAAAUAUAUAUAUAUAUAUUUUUAAAAAUACAAACCUUAAAGCAAGCCAUGGUCCAUCAGCCUAUCCAUUACAUAAUAGACCAUAUUGUCUUUGCUAGAUGCAAAUAUAGACUCAAUAAAUCAGAAAAGGGAUACCUA
Chelonia mydas (Green sea turtle) is the source of this 4172-nucleotide long non-coding RNA. RefSeq lists it as uncharacterized. The transcript is spliced from 3 exons. The record is from RefSeq and is a predicted model, not a curated record. Lineage: Eukaryota; Metazoa; Chordata; Testudines; Cheloniidae.